This 427-nucleotide ribosomal RNA is filed under the name uncultured archaeon. Its description in RNAcentral is "bacterial SSU rRNA". It matches the Rfam family "Archaeal small subunit ribosomal RNA", at positions 474 to 903 of the family's 1478-position model. The record is from RNAcentral.
UACCAGCUCUCCGAGUGGUAGGGAUGAUUAUUGGGCUUAAAGCGUCCGUAGCCGGCUUAGCAAGUCUCCUGUUAAAUUCAGCGACCUAAUCGUUGAGCCGCGGGAGAUACUACUAGGCUAGGAGGCGGGAGAGGUCGACGGUACUUCUGGGGUAGGGGUGAAAUCCUAUAAUCCCGGGAGGACCACCAGUGGCGAAGGCUGUCGACUAGAACGCGCUCGACGGUGAGGGACGAAAGCUGGGGGAGCGAACCGGAUUAGAUACCCGGGUAGUCCCAGAUGUAAACGAUGCGGGCUAGGUGUUGGGGUGGCUACGUGCCACUUCAGUGCCGCAGGGAAGCCAUUAAGCCCGCCGCCUGGGGAGUACGGCCGCAAGGCUGAAACUUAAGGAAUUGGCGGGGAGCGCCACAAGGCGUGAAGCUUGCGGUUC